CCUACGGGAGGCAGCAGUGGGGAAUCUUGCGCAAUGGGCGAAAGCCUGACGCAGCCAUGCCGCGUGAAUGAUGAAGGUCUUAGGAUUGUAAAAUUCUUUCACCGGGGACGAUAAUGACGGUACCCGGAGAAGAAGCCCCGGCUAACUUCGUGCCAGCAGCCGCGGUAAUACGAAGGGGGCUAGCGUUGCUCGGAAUUACUGGGCGUAAAGGGAGCGUAGGCGGAUAGUUUAGUCAGAGGUGAAAGCCCAGGGCUCAACCUUGGAAUUGCCUUUGAUACUGGCUAUCUUGAGUGUGGGAGAGGUAUGUGGAACUCCGAGUGUAGAGGUGAAAUUCGUAGAUAUUCGGAAGAACACCAGUGGCGAAGGCGACAUACUGGCCCAUUACUGACGCUGAGGCUCGAAAGCGUGGGGAGCAAACAGGAUUAGAUACCCUGGCAGUCCACGCUGUAACGAUAGAGUGCGUGGUUGUCGGUCGAUGCAUGCAUGUCGGUGGUACGCGAGACUACGCAUUAAGUACGACGUCCGCCGUCGGGGAGGUACGGGUCGGUCGAGAAGUUAAACGUUACUAAAGUUAGUUAAGUUAGACGGCGUUGAGACGUUGCCGACGGACGACGACGAGGGGAGGAGG
RNAcentral lists this ribosomal RNA (628 nucleotides) under uncultured bacterium. RNAcentral describes it as "bacterial SSU rRNA". The stretch from base 1 to 523 matches the Rfam family "Bacterial small subunit ribosomal RNA", at positions 338 to 873 of the family's 1533-position model. The record is from RNAcentral.